GGCAGAACAAAAUCUCUCUUAGUUAGAGGCUGAAAUCCAAGGGACUUCGAUUUAUUCCAAUUUUCAAGUAGAAGAUUUUAUUUUACUCAGGAGAACAUGGCUACCGACAACGUCCCAGGGCUGAAGAGAAACGUCAACCAAGAAGAUACCAAUAUGAACCCUUUUUAAUAGAGAGAGAUGGAGAAGGAGAAACCUCAGAGACUUGCCUUCUGACUUUAUUUUUCCCCCCAAAAGAGAUGGGCUUAUUUUCUGCAAGAAAAGAGGCUUAGAAGGCAUUUUUAAAAGGAGCCAAUAUUAAAGUUUUGUGAAAGUUUUUCUAGGGAAGGAGAGUUAUUGAUGGUAGGAUGGUGUGGCAUGUUCGGUAUAGAUGAUAGAAGUGAGGGUGUGUUAGGGCCCAGGUAAAGGCAGGACACCAUGUGUGUUUAGUGGGCUGACUUUCUCCUCGUUUGCUUUUCAUCAGCAAUGGUCAAUAACUCCUGUGUGUCAGAUGGUUACUAGAGGAGGAUGUUAGACAGCUGCUAGGUGAGCCCAGCAUCUUUACAUGAACAACCCAAGGGGACACUGCAAGUUUAUUCAACCUUAUCUGUGUUAGAGUAUCUUCAUGGCCACACGGUAGGUUGUGAGAUGGACAUAUAAAGUUUUAGUAAAAUCACUUUUCAGAUUUCCUUGUAGAUAUGUCUAACCCUUAACUUCCAAGGAAAAGCAACAUUUUAAAAAAUAAGUCAGGCCUUCUUAGUAAAUAUGUGUUGAAUUACUAAUUUUAUAAAUUGAACUCACAAAGAAAUAACAUUUGAUUUAUAAAUAUGGGUAUGUGUGGUUAUUUCAUCCUUGGAGAAACUUCAGGAGCGACCCUUUGCUCUUUAUAAAUCCACUGACUCAGGCAGAGUCAUAGGCAACAGAAAGAAGCCCACAUUCUUGCCUCACUAGUUCAUUAGUUUUUAAGCAAGAUAUUUAAAAAUUACCUCUAGCACACUAAAAAGUACUGUCUUGCC
Molecule: long non-coding RNA, 992 nt
Filed under: Homo sapiens (human)
Lineage: Eukaryota; Metazoa; Chordata; Mammalia; Primates; Hominidae
Description: HSALNT0082570
Source: RNAcentral